UACGUAGGGUGCGAGCGUUGUCCGGAAUUAUUGGGCGUAAAGGGCUUGUAGGCGGUUUGUCGCGUCUGCCGUGAAAGUCCGGGGCUCAACUCCGGAUCUGCGGUGGGUACGGGCAGACUAGAGUGAUGUAGGGGAGACUGGAAUUCCUGGUGUAGCAGUGAAAUGCGUAGAUAUCAGGAGGAACACCGAUGGCGAAGGCAGGUCUCUGGGCUGACACUGACGCUCAUGCACGAAAGCGUGGGGAGCAAACAGG
This 253-nucleotide ribosomal RNA is filed under the name uncultured bacterium. Its description in RNAcentral is "partial 16S ribosomal RNA". It matches the Rfam family "Bacterial small subunit ribosomal RNA", at positions 524 to 776 of the family's 1533-position model. The record is from RNAcentral.